AACUGUCAACACGGAUCUCUUGGCUCUCGCAUCGAUGAAGACGCAGCGAAAUGCGAUAAGUAAUGUGAAUUGCAGAAUUCAGUGAAUCAUCGAAUCUUUGAACGCACCUUGCGCUCCUUGGUAUUCCGAGGAGCAUGCCUGUUUGAGUGUCA
RNAcentral lists this ribosomal RNA (152 nucleotides) under uncultured fungus. RNAcentral's name for it is "partial 5.8S ribosomal RNA". It matches the Rfam family "5.8S ribosomal RNA". From Rfam's summary of the family: 5.8S ribosomal RNA (5.8S rRNA) is a component of the large subunit of the eukaryotic ribosome. It is transcribed by RNA polymerase I as part of the 45S precursor that also contains 18S and 28S rRNA. Functionally, it is thought that 5.8S rRNA may be involved in ribosome translocation. Lineage: Eukaryota; Fungi. The record is from RNAcentral.